Molecule: ribosomal RNA, 492 nt
Filed under: uncultured bacterium
Lineage: Bacteria
Description: partial 16S ribosomal RNA
Rfam family: Bacterial small subunit ribosomal RNA
Source: RNAcentral
AGUGAACGCUGGCGGUAGGCCUAACACAUGCAAGUCGAACGGCAGCACAGUAAGAGCUUGCUCUUACGGGUGGCGAGUGGCGGACGGGUGAGGAAUACAUCGGAAUCUACUUUUUCGUGGGGGAUAACGUAGGGAAACUUACGCUAAUACCGCAUACGGCCUACGGGUGAAAGCAGGGGAUCUUCGGACCUUGCGCGCUUGAAUAAGCCGCUGUCGGAUUAGCUAGUUGGCGGGGUAAAGGCCCACCAAGGCGACGAUCCGUAGCUGGUCUGAGAGGAUGAUCAGCCACACUGGAACGGAGAAACGGUCCAGACUCCUACGGGAGGCAGCAGUGGGGAAUAUUGGACAAUGGGCGCAAGCCUGAUCCAGCCAUACCGCGUGGGUGAAGAAGGCCUUCGGGUUGUAAAGCCCUUUUGUUGGGAAAGAAAAGCAGCAGGUUAAUACCCCGCUGUUCUGACGGUACCCAAAGAAUAAGCACCGGCUAACUUCGUG